RNAcentral lists this long non-coding RNA (189 nucleotides) under Junco hyemalis (dark-eyed junco). Its description in RNAcentral is "lncRNA (ENSJHYG00000014454.1)". The record is from RNAcentral. Lineage: Eukaryota; Metazoa; Chordata; Aves; Passeriformes; Passerellidae.
AGAGGAGGAGAGGGGAAAGGGAAGAAAAGCUGCUGCUCCAGAUGCAAUAAGAAGGGAGCUAUUCUGUUCUGAAUCAGCAUGGGAUAGAGUGCCUAGAAGACGUUCAGACCAAGCUCAGCUAGCGGUGAGUGGGCAAUGCACACCGGCUGCCCUAUGCGGCCAUUCUGAGUGAGCAGCAGAAUAGCCUGG